AGAGUUUGAUCCUGGCUCAGGAUGAACGCUGGCGGCGUGCCUAACACAUGCAAGUCGAACGGUCGCAAGACAGUGGCGCACGGGUGAGGAACACGUAGCUAACCUGCCCUCAAGAUUGGGAUAACGGAUCGAAAGGUCUGCUAAUACCGAAUAAGCUCACGCGAAGUAGAGGCGAGUGAGAAAAGGAGCAAUCCGCUUGAGGAGGGGGCUGCGGCCUAUCAGGUAGUUGGUGAGGUAACGGCUCACCAAGCCGACGACGGGUAGGGGGCCUGAGAGGGUGACCCCCCACACUGGGACUGAGACACGGCCCAGACUCCUACGGGAGGCAGCAGUGAGGGAUAUUGCACAAUGGGCGCAAGCCUGAUGCAGCGACGCCGCGUGAGUGAAGAAGGCCUUCGGGUCGUAAAACUCUUUUGCCGAUGACGAGGAAGGACGGUGGUCGGCGAAUAAGCUCG
This 455-nucleotide ribosomal RNA is filed under the name uncultured bacterium. RNAcentral's name for it is "bacterial SSU rRNA". It matches the Rfam family "Bacterial small subunit ribosomal RNA", at positions 8 to 494 of the family's 1533-position model. The record is from RNAcentral.